GAGAGCCAAAAUGAAUUGAAAGAUUCAAGUUUGGUUCGGGAAGGGAUCAUGAACAUUUUGAAAUGAAUGGAAAGAUAAUCUUCGAC
Molecule: non-coding RNA, 86 nt
Organism: Beta vulgaris subsp. vulgaris (sugar beet)
Lineage: Eukaryota; Viridiplantae; Streptophyta; Magnoliopsida; Caryophyllales; Amaranthaceae
Source: Rfam